RNAcentral lists this transfer RNA (82 nucleotides) under Nesterenkonia sedimenti. It matches the Rfam family "tRNA". From Rfam's summary of the family: Transfer RNA (tRNA) molecules are approximately 80 nucleotides in length. Their secondary structure includes four short double-helical elements and three loops (D, anti-codon, and T loops). The record is from Rfam by way of RNAcentral. Lineage: Bacteria; Bacillati; Actinomycetota; Actinomycetes; Micrococcales; Micrococcaceae.
CCCCGAAUGGCGGAAUUGGUAGACGCGCUCGACUCAAAAUCGAGUACCUCACGGUGUGUGGGUUCGAGUCCCACUUCGGGGA